AUUUCAAAUACCACCUUUGAUAUCGUACUUUCUUUAUUUUAGUGCCCUAUAGUUUAAAAUAUAUUAAUUUAGUAUUCCCGUGGUUUUAUUUUUUAUUUUUAUUAUUCUCUCUACUAUUUUUUUUUUCGCUAAAUCAGUGACAAAAUUAAAACUAAAAAAAUACUAAACUAAAUAUUCGAUAAAUCUAGGUGAAGUAUCUUAGAUUUCUUUGUAUAUAAUUUAAUAAAAUGUUAAUGGAGGAACUGAUGAAAAGAGAAAAAUAUAUAAAACCAUAGAGUACUAAAUUAAUACAUUUUAAACUACAGAGUAGUAAAGUGAAGUUUACCCUUAUAAAGAAAAAGAUAACAUGCUAUCGUUUUAUUUAUUUUUAGAAAUAAAUUUAAUUAAAAAUAUAAAUUAAUUAGACUUCAAAGUUGAAAUUUUAGAUACCACCGAUUAAAUCUUACCGACUGUCCCUAGAGCAAGUGGCAAAGGAUUUGGUGGUUGGUAUCCGAGACCCAAGUUUGAAUCCUAGUUGUUUCACAUUUCUAACUAAGUUUAUUUCUAAAUGAAAUAAACGAAGCGGGUAGCGUACUAUCUAGCUCUAAAAAAAAAAGAUUAAAUUUUUUACCACUUUUGUUGGGGACAACAUUU
Molecule: long non-coding RNA, 633 nt
Filed under: Ananas comosus (pineapple)
Lineage: Eukaryota; Viridiplantae; Streptophyta; Magnoliopsida; Poales; Bromeliaceae
Description: long non-coding RNA (ACOM_LNC038316)
Source: RNAcentral